RNAcentral lists this ribosomal RNA (253 nucleotides) under uncultured bacterium. Its description in RNAcentral is "partial 16S ribosomal RNA". It matches the Rfam family "Bacterial small subunit ribosomal RNA", at positions 524 to 776 of the family's 1533-position model. The record is from RNAcentral.
UACGUAGGGACCAAGCGUUGUUCGGAUUUACUGGGCGUAAAGGGCGCGUAGGCGGCGUGGUAAGUCACUUGUGAAAUCUCUGAGCUUAACUCAGAACGGCCAAGUGAUACUGCUGUGCUAGAGUGCAGAAGGGGCAAUCGGAAUUCUUGGUGUAGCGGUGAAAUGCGUAGAUAUCAGGAGGAACACCUGAGGUGAAGACGGGUUGCUGGGCUGACACUGACGCUGAUGCGCGAAAGCGUGGGGAGCGAACAGG